GUUCCCGUAGCUCAGCAGGAUAGAGCGCAGGAUUCCUAAUCCUGAGGCCGUGGGUUCGAAUCCCGCCGGGAACACCA
This 77-nucleotide transfer RNA is filed under the name Alphaproteobacteria bacterium CG_4_10_14_0_8_um_filter_37_21. RNAcentral describes it as "tRNA-Arg". It matches the Rfam family "tRNA". Rfam says of the family: Transfer RNA (tRNA) molecules are approximately 80 nucleotides in length. Lineage: Bacteria; Pseudomonadati; Pseudomonadota; Alphaproteobacteria. The record is from RNAcentral. RNAcentral also lists the same sequence under 1 other name.